UACAGCAUGGCAUAGUGGUUUGGGUGUUGGACUAUGACUCUGGAGACCAGAGUUCAAUUCUCAACCUGGCAA
Non-coding RNA from Phrynosoma platyrhinos (Desert horned lizard), 72 nucleotides. NCBI's taxonomy places the organism in Eukaryota, Metazoa, Chordata, Lepidosauria, Squamata, Phrynosomatidae. The record is from the annotation of a GenBank genome assembly.